Long non-coding RNA from Hyla sarda, 1177 nucleotides. RefSeq lists it as uncharacterized. The transcript has 3 exons. The record is from RefSeq and is a predicted model, not a curated record. Lineage: Eukaryota; Metazoa; Chordata; Amphibia; Anura; Hylidae.
GCUCAGCCCAGUCGGGCGAAUAUUGAAGGGGGGCAGGACAAGCCAGAGGUAAUCAUUGACGAUAACCUCUUAAUAGCCAUGGUCGAGGCUCGCCCUGCUCUUUGGGAUUCGUCCGACCCCAACCAUGCCAAGCGCAAAACACCAAGGCUCUUUGGAAUGAGAUUUACAGCGGCAUCUGUAAUUCCUGGAAGGUCCUUUCCCCUAAUGAAAGAUGGAUUAUUGGCGACCAGAUAAAACAUCACUGGGGAUCCAUCAGGGACCGGCACAUAUGGGACCUAAGGGAGGAGGAAGAGAGGCCAAGUGGAUCAGGUGCCUCCACCAAGACCCCAUACAUUUACCAGCCCCUCCUCGGGCCCCUCCAAAAAUGGCAUAACAUACGGAAAACACAUUCCAGUGUGAGGACACACAAACAGACCCUCAGUGCUCCACCCCCCCCCAUCCCUGACCCAGCCCCCGACACUGCUGAUCAAGGACAAGAACCUUCUCCCCUACCAGCUUCCUCAUCGUCCUGGCCAAGUCGCCAGAGGAUUGAAACAUCCUUUGGAGAUUUGGUCCAGCCGUUGAGGACUGGUAGGAGACAGCAUGUGAUCCUUGAAGAUCUCAUAAAGCUUCAUGAGAUUGGAUGAUAGAGUGGAAGCCUUGAGGGAGGAGCUUUGCCAGUUAUGGCAGGCAGGUGCAGGGCCAUCAACUGGUCCCCCUUCAGACUCUCUACUCUAUCUCUAGAGCCUGGCUCCCAUGAUGGAGAAACUGCUCCUUGAUAUCCAGUGUCCGUUCCGCAAGGAGUCAUUCGAGCUUCUGUCUAGACUCUAGACUAUGGAUCAUAACGGAUAAACAAUUAUAAACAGACGUUAAACUCUAUUCACCCGUUAUUAAACGUCCGUUACAAAACAUUAUAAUGGACGUUUAUAACGGAUGAAUGAACUAUAGUGUGAAAGGAGCCUAACCCCUCUUCAUUUAUGCAAGCAAAUUGCAUAACUUUACAAUUGUUAUGACCGUAGCAUGAGUGUUUACUCCUUUUCUACUGGAGUUUCCCUUUGUAUUAAAUUAUAAUUUAUUUAUAUAGGGCCCUUGGUUCCAGGGCACUUUACAUUUGAUAAGGGUUAAAAUACAUAAUACAAUUACAGGUGCAGUGAACAUGACACACAGUAUAUGACAGACUCAUAUAGAGAUUGCCCAC